UACAGAGGUGGCAAGCGUUGUUCGGAAUCACUGGGCGUAAAGGGUGCGUAGGCGGGUCUUUAAGUCAGGGGUGAAAUCCUGGAGCUCAACUCCAGAACUGCCUUUGAUACUGAGGAUCUUGAGUCCGGGAGAGGUGAGUGGAACUGCGAGUGUAGAGGUGAAAUUCGUAGAUAUUCGCAAGAACACCAGUGGCGAAGGCGGCUCACUGGCCCGGUACUGACGCUGAGGCACGAAAGCGUGGGGAGCAAACAGG
Molecule: ribosomal RNA, 253 nt
Filed under: uncultured bacterium
Lineage: Bacteria
Description: partial 16S ribosomal RNA
Rfam family: Bacterial small subunit ribosomal RNA
Source: RNAcentral